UCGGACGUGGUGCACGGCGCACACCCGCUUUCUAUUGGUGUAAAAAAGACGGUAUGUGGGAAGCCCGGGUUCGACUCCCGGCGUCCGAA
Mycena epipterygia is the source of this 89-nucleotide non-coding RNA. The record is from the annotation of a GenBank genome assembly. Lineage: Eukaryota; Fungi; Basidiomycota; Agaricomycetes; Agaricales; Mycenaceae.